GGAAUAUUGCACAAUGGGCGCAAGCCUGAUGCAGCGACGCCGCGUGGGUGAUGAAGGCUUUCGGGUCGUAAAGCCCUUUUCUAGGUGACGAGCAAGGACGGCAGCCUAGGCAUAAGUGUCGGCUAACUACGUGCCAGCAGCCGCGGUAAAACGUAGGACACAAGCGUUAUCCGGAGUUACUGGGCGUAAAGGGCGUGUAGGCGGAUGUAUAAGUCUAUUCUGAAAGCUCCUGGCUAAACUGGGAGAGGCGAAUGGAGACUGUAUGUCUAGAGUGAGGAAGAGGAAAGUAGAAUUCCGCGUGUAGUGGUGAAAUGCGUAGAGAUGCGGAGGAACACCAGUGGCGAAAGCGACUUUCUGGUCCUUAACUGACGCUGAGGCGCGAAAGCAUGGGGAGCGAAC
Molecule: ribosomal RNA, 399 nt
Filed under: uncultured bacterium
Lineage: Bacteria
Description: bacterial SSU rRNA
Rfam family: Bacterial small subunit ribosomal RNA
Source: RNAcentral